This 372-nucleotide ribosomal RNA is filed under the name uncultured bacterium. RNAcentral's name for it is "bacterial SSU rRNA". It matches the Rfam family "Bacterial small subunit ribosomal RNA", at positions 524 to 898 of the family's 1533-position model. The record is from RNAcentral.
UACGGAGGGUGCAAGCGUUAUCCGGAUUCACUGGGUUUAAAGGGUGUGUAGGCGGGCUAUUAAGUCAGUGGUGAAAUCUCUGGGCUCAACCCAGAAACUGCCAUUGAUACUAUUAGUCUUGAAUAUUGUUGAGGUUGGCGGAAUAUGUCAUGUAGCGGUGAAAUGCUUAGAUAUGACAUAGAACACCGAUUGCGAAGGCAGCUAGCUAAACAAUGAUUGACGCUGAGGCACGAAAGCGUGGGGAUCAAACAGGAUUAGAUACCCUGGUAGUCCACGCCCUAAACGAUGAUUACUGGACAUUUGCGAUAUACAGUGAGUGUCUGAGCGAAAGCAUUAAGUAAUCCACCUGGGAAGUACGUCCGCAAGGAUGAA